CGGCAACAGCUCAAAUUUGAAAUCUGGCCUAUGGCCCGAAUUGUAAUUGGCAGAGGAUGCAUCGGGGGCGGCCCUGUUCCAAGUCCGCUGGAACGCGGCGUCCUAGAGGGUGAGAAUCCCGUACGCGAGCGGUGUCCGCUCCCAUGUGAUGCUCCUUCGAC
RNAcentral lists this ribosomal RNA (161 nucleotides) under Cryptococcus sp. (in: basidiomycete fungi). Its description in RNAcentral is "Cryptococcus sp. (in: Fungi) partial large subunit ribosomal RNA". It matches the Rfam family "Eukaryotic large subunit ribosomal RNA", at positions 99 to 261 of the family's 3401-position model. The record is from RNAcentral. Lineage: Eukaryota; Fungi; Basidiomycota; Tremellomycetes; Tremellales; Cryptococcaceae.